AAAUAUUAAUCAGGCUUGGCCUUGCAGAUGGACAGACACAGUAUUCUGCUGUGACUUUAUUCCUCUCCUAAAGUCUUUUAAAUGUAAGACUAACUUGACUUUCCAUCUGGAAAUUCCACUGAACCUCCACAGAAAAAAGAAAACAAAGGAAAAAUGAGACAUAUCCAUUGGUUUUGAAAAGCAUCAUGUUAUUAUUAUAAAUUGUCAAGAGAUUUACUUCAAUUUCUGGUGCUCUCUGGAAAAGAAGUGAAGGUAGCACACAGGAACCAAGGUUGAAUAUGGUUUGCUGGUCCACAUGUAAACAUCUGGCUCAUUCUUGGUCCACUUAUAUGGCAUGUGUGAAGAAAAAAA
This is a non-coding RNA of Pantherophis guttatus, 351 nucleotides long. The record is from RefSeq and is a predicted model, not a curated record. Lineage: Eukaryota; Metazoa; Chordata; Lepidosauria; Squamata; Colubridae.